CGGACGGGUGAGUAAUGUCUGGGAAACUGCCUGAUGGAGGGGGAUAACUACUGGAAACGGUAGCUAAUACCGCAUAACGUCGCAAGACCAAAGAGGGGGACCUUAGGGCCUCUUGCCAUCAGAUGAACCCAUAUGGGAUUAGCUUGUAGGUAAGGUAACGGCUUACCUAGGCGACGAUCCCUAGCUGGUCUGAGAGGAUGAUCAGCCACACUGGGACUGAGACACGGCCCAG
RNAcentral lists this ribosomal RNA (232 nucleotides) under uncultured bacterium. RNAcentral's name for it is "partial 16S ribosomal RNA". It matches the Rfam family "Bacterial small subunit ribosomal RNA", at positions 99 to 334 of the family's 1533-position model. The record is from RNAcentral.